This 538-nucleotide ribosomal RNA is filed under the name Bacillus baekryungensis. Its description in RNAcentral is "bacterial SSU rRNA". It matches the Rfam family "Bacterial small subunit ribosomal RNA", at positions 1 to 522 of the family's 1533-position model. The record is from RNAcentral. Lineage: Bacteria; Bacillati; Bacillota; Bacilli; Caryophanales; Bacillaceae.
UGGAGAGUUUGAUCCUGGCUCAGGACGAACGCUGGCGGCGUGCCUAAUACAUGCAAGUCGAGCGAAGAGAUGGGAGCUUGCUCCCUGAUCUUAGCGGCGGACGGGUGAGUAACACGUGGGCAACCUGCCCUGCAGACUGGGAUAACUCCGGGAAACCGGAGCUAAUACCGGGUAAUACAUCGCACCGCAUGGUGCAAUGUUGAAAGUUGGCUUUCUGAGCUAACACUGCAGGAUGGGCCCGCGGCGCAUUAGCUAGUUGGUAAGGUAAUGGCUUACCAAGGCAACGAUGCGUAGCCGACCUGAGAGGGUGAUCGGCCACACUGGGACUGAGACACGGCCCAGACUCCUACGGGAGGCAGCAGUAGGGAAUCUUCCGCAAUGGACGAAAGUCUGACGGAGCAACGCCGCGUGAGUGACGAAGGCCUUCGGGUCGUAAAGCUCUGUUGUUAGGGAAGAACAAGUACCGUUCGAAUAGGGCGGUACCUUGACGGUACCUAACCAGAAAGCCACGGCUAACUACGUGCCAGCAGCCGCGGUA